UUCAACACCCAUGAUCAGUUGGUGAUCUCUACCGAUAAUCGGUGAAGACCAACCGCGGUACUAGGAUGGGUGACCUCCUGGGAAGUCCUCGUGUUGCAC
This 99-nucleotide small RNA is filed under the name Salix viminalis (osier). Lineage: Eukaryota; Viridiplantae; Streptophyta; Magnoliopsida; Malpighiales; Salicaceae. The record is from RNAcentral.